Molecule: long non-coding RNA, 440 nt
Organism: Quercus robur (English oak)
Lineage: Eukaryota; Viridiplantae; Streptophyta; Magnoliopsida; Fagales; Fagaceae
Exons: 2
Source: RefSeq, a predicted model, not a curated record
UUGGAGGAGCACCCAGAAUGCGGCCAUACGAAUCUUAUUUGGUAUGACAUAGAAAAGAAAAGAUGCUACAGGGUUAAGAAUCGGAGUUUUCCGUAUGUGUUUAAGGUGGCAACUUGUAUCGGGAGUCUUCUUCUCCUUGAUGGUGAUUAUGUGAUUGAUCCUACGCAGAAGAAGAAUAAGAGGAAGAGGAAGAGGAAUUAAUGUCCAUCAGAAUCUCUUGGGAAAAGCAUUAGAAUGCAAAAAGGAUAAAGAGGCGAUUGUGGAAUCGACUUUAUCUUUCAAAAGUAAUAUUUAAUUAUUGAUUUUGUGGUGUUGACUAGCUAUAACAAAAGCUGGAUUAUUCAUGUCUUAUGGUAUAUUUAGCUAUUUUUUUCAUCUUGUCAAUGUUAUUGAAACUUAUGAAUAUCUAAUAUGAUAAAGCUUGUUCUUGGAAGAUUAUA